RNAcentral lists this transfer RNA (85 nucleotides) under Felis catus (domestic cat). It matches the Rfam family "tRNA". Rfam says of the family: Transfer RNA (tRNA) molecules are approximately 80 nucleotides in length. Their secondary structure includes four short double-helical elements and three loops (D, anti-codon, and T loops). Lineage: Eukaryota; Metazoa; Chordata; Mammalia; Carnivora; Felidae. The record is from Rfam by way of RNAcentral.
GCCUGGGUGGCUCAGUCGGUUGAGCGUCCGACUUCAGCUCAGGUCACAAUCUCACAGUUCGUGAGUUCGAGCCCCACAUCAGGCU